AAGGCAUCUUAUUAAUAUUAAAGCUUCGGCACUUGAUGAUGGGUGUGCGGCUGAUUAGAUAGUUGGCGGGUAACGGCCCACCAAGUCUACGAUCAGUAGCUGAUGUGAGAGCAUGAUCAGCCACACGGGCACUGAGACACGGGCCCGACUCCUACGGGAGGCAGCAGUAAGGAAUAUUGGACAAUGGACGAAAGUCUGAUCCAGCCAUGCCGCGUGAAGGAUUAAGGUCCUCUGGAUUGUAAACUUCUUUUAUAUGGGACGAAAAAAGGGCAUUCUUGUUCACUUGACGGUACCAUAUGAAUAAGCACCGGCUAACUCCGUG
This 322-nucleotide ribosomal RNA is filed under the name uncultured bacterium. RNAcentral's name for it is "bacterial SSU rRNA". It matches the Rfam family "Bacterial small subunit ribosomal RNA", at positions 185 to 507 of the family's 1533-position model. The record is from RNAcentral.